Molecule: ribosomal RNA, 365 nt
Filed under: uncultured eukaryote
Lineage: Eukaryota
Description: partial 18S ribosomal RNA
Rfam family: Eukaryotic small subunit ribosomal RNA
Source: RNAcentral
CAAUAGCGUAUAUUUAAGUUGUUGCAGUUAAAAAGCUCGUAGUCGGAUUUUGGCUGAGAACGAUCGGUCCGCCGUUAGGUGUGCACUGAUUGGUCUCAGCUUCCUGGUGGGGAGGUGUGCUUCACGGCCACUUAGUCACCGUGGUUACUUUGAAAAAAUUAGAGUGUUCAAAGCGGGCUUACGCUUGAAUAUAUUAGCAUGGAAUAACACCAUAGGACUCCUGUCCUAUUUCGUUGGUCUCGGGACGGGAGUAAUGAUUAAGAGGAACAGUUGGGGGCAUUCGUAUUUCAUUGUCAGAGGUGAAAUUCUUGGAUUUAUGAAAGACGAACUUCUGCGAAAGCAUUUGCCAAGGAUGUUUUCAUUGA